RNAcentral lists this small nuclear RNA (203 nucleotides) under Cladophialophora yegresii CBS 114405. Its description in RNAcentral is "U2 spliceosomal RNA". It matches the Rfam family "U2 spliceosomal RNA". Rfam says of the family: U2 is a small nuclear RNA (snRNA) component of the spliceosome (involved in pre-mRNA splicing). Complementary binding between U2 snRNA (in an area lying towards the 5' end but 3' to hairpin I) and the branchpoint sequence (BPS) of the intron results the bulging out of an unpaired adenosine, on the BPS, which initiates a nucleophilic attack at the intronic 5' splice site, thus starting the first of two transesterification reactions that mediate splicing. The record is from Rfam by way of RNAcentral. Lineage: Eukaryota; Fungi; Ascomycota; Eurotiomycetes; Chaetothyriales; Herpotrichiellaceae.
CCAACACUCUUUGCCUCUCCGGCUCAGAUCAAGUGUAGUACCUGUUCUUCCUCAGCUUGACCGCUAGGAUUCCCCUUACGAGGGGUCGAUACGCUCAAGAUAUUCUUUGAACUGUGGCGGAAGGCCUGCCCCGCCUUGCGCAGAGAGGCCUCUUGCCGUUGUGUCCGAGGCCUUCCACUAUCGCCUUGUGAUGCGAAACGCAC